Molecule: small RNA, 474 nt
Filed under: Arabidopsis thaliana (thale cress)
Lineage: Eukaryota; Viridiplantae; Streptophyta; Magnoliopsida; Brassicales; Brassicaceae
Description: putative long intergenic non-coding RNA
Source: RNAcentral
ACUACCCAUAACCCAUGAUAUGAAAAUCCAAAUUAAAAAUAAACUCAUUAUCGGAACUUCCUAUAAUUACUAAACCCAUAACUCCACAAACGAUAAAUACCCAGAUUUAAUUUUGAAUCAAUCAACAAUCAAAUCUCGUUUCCUUCUCCUCCGAUGAUUCACACAACAUUUCUAUGACCAACCUUUUUCGAUGAAUCCAAUGGAACUAAUUAAACAAGUUUUGUUGCAAGAAAACUAAACCCUAAGGGAUGAUGUUUAGGGAACCCAAAGGCUUUAAUUAUAGACACAGAUCGAUCCAUCUCAACUGUAAAACAAUCUGAUUGUGAAUCAUGAGCAACUAAGCCAUCUUCAUCAAACUCGCAUCUGAAUCAAGAGCUUGAAGAAGGAAGAAAGAAUGAAGAAACAAUAAAAGGAUAAAUUAGUCUUUUAGAGAAAAAGAAAAUACCCAUCCUUAUAAUCACUUGAGAAUAUGCC